CUACGGGCUGCAGCAGUGGGGAAUAUUGGACAAUGGGCGCAAGCCUGAUCCAGCCAUGCCGCGUGAGUGAUGAAGGCCCUAGGGUUGUAAAGCUCUUUCACCGGUGAAGAUAAUGACGGUAACCGGAGAAGAAGCCCCGGCUAACUUCGUGCCAGCAGCCGCGGUAAUACGAAGGGGGCUAGCGUUGUUCGGAUUUACUGGGCGUAAAGCGCACGUAGGCGGACUAUUAAGUCAGGGGUGAAAUCCCGGGGCUCAACCCCGGAACUGCCUUUGAUACUGGUAGUCUUGAGUUCGAGAGAGGUGAGUGGAAUUCCGAGUGUAGAGGUGAAAUUCGUAGAUAUUCGGAGGAACACCAGUGGCGAAGGCGGCUCACUGGCUCGAUACUGACGCUGAGGCGCGAAAGCGUGGGGAGCAAACAGGAUUAGAUACCCCGGUAGUC
Molecule: ribosomal RNA, 439 nt
Filed under: uncultured bacterium
Lineage: Bacteria
Description: partial 16S ribosomal RNA
Rfam family: Bacterial small subunit ribosomal RNA
Source: RNAcentral